RNAcentral lists this ribosomal RNA (732 nucleotides) under uncultured bacterium. RNAcentral describes it as "bacterial SSU rRNA". It matches the Rfam family "Bacterial small subunit ribosomal RNA", at positions 111 to 820 of the family's 1533-position model. The record is from RNAcentral.
UAACGCGUAGGCAACCUACCCUUUAGACGGGGACAACAUUCCGAAAGGAGUGCUAAUACCGGAUGUGAUCAUCGUGCCGCAUGGCAGGAUGAAGAAAGAUGGCCUCUACAAGUAAGCUAUCGCUAAAGGAUGGGCCUGCGUCUGAUUAGCUAGUUGGUAGUGUAACGGACUACCAAGGCGAUGAUCAGUAGCCGGUCUGAGAGGAUGAACGGCCACAUUGGGACUGAGACACGGCCCAAACUCCUACGGGAGGCAGCAGUGGGGAAUCUUCCGCAAUGGACGACAGUCUGACGGAGCAACGCCGCGUGAGUGAUGAAGGAUUUCGGUCUGUAAAGCUCUGUUGUUUAUGACGAACGUGCAGUGUGUGAACAAUGCAUUGCAAUGACGGUAGUAAACGAGGAAGCCACGGCUAACUACGUGCCAGCAGCCGCGGUAAUACGUAGGUGGCGAGCGUUGUCCGGAAUUAUUGGGCGUAAAGAGCAUGUAGGCGGCUUAAUAAGUCGAGCGUGAAAAUGCGGGGCUCAACCCCGUAUGGCGCUGGAAACUGUUAGGCUUGAGUGCAGGAGAGGAAAGGGGAAUUCCCAGUGUAGCGGUGAAAUGCGUAGAUAUUGGGAGGAACACCAGUGGCGAAGGCGCCUUUCCGGACUGUGUCUGACGCUGAGAUGCGAAAGCCAGGGUAGCGAACGGGAUUAGAUACCCCGGUAGUCCUGGCCGUAAACGAUGGGUACUAGG